This 435-nucleotide ribosomal RNA is filed under the name uncultured Oscillospiraceae bacterium. RNAcentral's name for it is "partial 16S ribosomal RNA". It matches the Rfam family "Bacterial small subunit ribosomal RNA", at positions 341 to 792 of the family's 1533-position model. Lineage: Bacteria; Bacillati; Bacillota; Clostridia; Eubacteriales; Oscillospiraceae. The record is from RNAcentral.
ACGGGAGGCAGCAGUCGGGAAUAUUGCGCAAUGGAGGAAACUCUGACGCAGUGACGCCGCGUAUAGGAAGAAGGUUUUCGGAUUGUAAACUAUUGUCAUUAGGGAAGAUAAAAGACUGUACCUAAAGAGGAAGCCCCGGCUAACUAUGUGCCAGCAGCCGCGGUAAUACAUAGGGGGCAAGCGUUAUCCGGAAUUAUUGGGUGUAAAGGGUGCGUAGACGGGAGUGCAAGUUAGUUGUGAAAUCCCUCGGCUUAACUGAGGAACUGCAACUAAAACUGUACUUCUUGAGUAUCGGAGAGGAAAGCGGAAUUCCUAGUGUAGCGGUGAAAUGCGUAGAUAUUAGGAGGAACACCAGUGGCGAAGGCGGCUUUCUGGACGAAAACUGACGUUGAGGCACGAAAGUGUGGGGAGCAAACAGGAUUAGAUACCCUGGUA